CAGUUCAAAAAAAAAAACACCUAUGUUAGCAUCUAUAAUAUGUUUUAAUUGAUACAUCAAAUAUUAACAAUGGACAAAUAGCGAUUAUUGACUGCUGCCCGUGAUCUUUACAUGUUAACUUAAAUUUUAGUAACUAACAUAUGUGUUACAUGAUAACAAAUAUAUUAGAUUAAUAGCCAAUAUUGUAUUAUAAAGACUGUUAUUAUAUUAUUGAUUUGUGUAACGCAUUAUAAAUAACAUUUAUAUUGAUAAUCAAAUAAGAACCGAUAAAACUGAAAAUUCAAAGCCACAUAUAAAAUAAAUAAUUAAAAUUAAAAUUGAAUUGGAAAUAGAAUGAUAGAGCUUUGUAUAAUAAUUAGAUAUUAGAGUUAGAAACAUCACAUAUGUUUUCAGAGAAAAAAAUCAGAAAAGAAAAUGGCCAAAAGUAAGAGAGAGGAUGUGAGAGAGAGAGAGAGCUAGUAAAUAAUAGGUAGGAGAGAGAAGAUAUAGCUGACACACCCACAUGCAUGUGUAGAAAGCUAAAAUAGUCAUGAAAUUAUUUAUGUCAAAUCAAGUGUAAUUGGCUAAUUAAUAUCUCCCAUGUAUGCAUUUCUGCCAAUUAUCUCUAUUUUAAUAUAGAAAAUAAAAACUUUUAAAAUAAUCGCAAUAAGAUAAAUAUAAUUAAUAUUCAAUUUAUUUUUUCAUUAAAA
This 689-nucleotide long non-coding RNA is filed under the name Brassica rapa (field mustard). RNAcentral describes it as "long non-coding RNA (BRAP_LNC001502)". Lineage: Eukaryota; Viridiplantae; Streptophyta; Magnoliopsida; Brassicales; Brassicaceae. The record is from RNAcentral.